Molecule: ribosomal RNA, 327 nt
Filed under: uncultured soil bacterium
Lineage: Bacteria
Description: bacterial SSU rRNA
Rfam family: Bacterial small subunit ribosomal RNA
Source: RNAcentral
AGAUUGAGCGCUGGCGGCAUGCCUUACACAUGCAAGUCGAACGGCAGCACGGGGGCAACCCUGGUGGCGAGUGGCGAACGGGUGAGUAAUGCAUCGGAACGUGCCCAGUAGUGGGGGAUAACUAGUCGAAAGAUUAGCUAAUACCGCAUACGACCUAUGGGUGAAAGCGGGGGAUUCGCAAGAACCUCGCGCUAUCGGAGCGGCCGAUGUCUGAUUAGCUAGUGGCGGGGUAAAGCCCACCAAGGCUUCGAUCAGUAGCUGGUCUGAGAGGACACCAGCCACAACUGGACUGAGACACGGCCCAGACUCCGUACGGAGGCCAGCAGU